RNAcentral lists this ribosomal RNA (450 nucleotides) under uncultured bacterium. RNAcentral describes it as "partial 16S ribosomal RNA". It matches the Rfam family "Bacterial small subunit ribosomal RNA", at positions 354 to 796 of the family's 1533-position model. The record is from RNAcentral.
GUGGGGAAUAUUGGACAAUGGGCGAAAGCCUGAUCCAGCCAUGCCGCGUGUGUGAAGAAGGUCUUCGGAUUGUAAAGCACUUUAAGUUGGGAGGAAGGGCAGUAAGUUAAUACCUUGCUAUUUUGACGUUACCGACAGAAUAAGCACCGGCUAACUUCGUGCCAGCAGCCGCGGUAAUACGAAGGGUGCAAGCGUUAAUCGGAAUUACUGGGCGUAAAGCGCGCGUAGGUGGUUUUGUAAGUUGGAGGUGAAAUCCCCGGGCUCAACCUGGGAACUGCCUCAAAAACUGCAUGACUAGAGUACGGUAGAGGGUAGUGGAAUUUCCUGUGUAGCGGUGAAAUGCGUAGAUAUAGGAAGGAACACCAGUGGCGAAGGCGACUACCUGGACUGAUACUGACACUGAGGUGCGAAAGCGUGGGGAGCAAACAGGAUUAGAUACCCGAGUAGUCC